Molecule: unclassified non-coding RNA, 6279 nt
Filed under: Acromyrmex echinatior (Panamanian leafcutter ant)
Lineage: Eukaryota; Metazoa; Arthropoda; Insecta; Hymenoptera; Formicidae
Description: disks large homolog 5, transcript variant X1
Source: RNAcentral
UGUUCCAUUUCCACACGUACAUUUUACAUUUUAUAUUAAGUUACAUCGAUUAUUUCCCUGAUAUGUUUGCUAUUGGAAUUGACACUUGUGGCAUAAAACUAGAGGGGGAUAGUGGAAGCUAUGGCAGUGUUGGAAGCCCAGUUGGUGGCCCCGAAUGUCGUAGCGACUAUGACGGUUUGCAGGCUCAAUGUGAUCAGGCGAUGCAUCAGCUUCAGCUACUUAGGCAUAAGCACUCCGAUACCAUAAGACGGCUAAUUAUAAGGGCUUGUAAAAAGAAGUCUGUAAUGCACAGGUGUGAGAUUACUAUGAAAGAAUUGGAGUAUUAUCGGGGGCAACAUAUAGCAGUCAUGAAUCAACUAGAAGCCACAUCGCAAGAAAGCUCUUCGUUACGAGCAAAAUAUGGUGAUCUGGCAAACGACAAGCAACGGUUGGACCGGGAGGUCCAGUCACUGCAGAAAGAACUUUCGGAAUUGCAGCGCAUGCAGAACCAAGAGGUACUCGUCGCCGAUGCUACGGGUAACGAUGCUAUGAAUCAGCACUAUCUGUCGGCGUUACGAAAAUACGAAGCUGUUAAGGACGAAUACGAUUCCCUCAGGAAACGAUACGACGACCUUAUUGCGUCUCAUUCUUCCGCCGUUAAUAAGCUAGAGUUAUCGCAAGAGGAAGCAAAGAGACUAAAGAAGCAGUACGACAGCGUUCUAGAGGAACGUAACAGUGCACUCCGCGAACGCAACGGUUUGAAACAGCAGUGUACCGCCGCGAUUCGCCAGUGGGAUAUCGCAUUAAGAGAGAGAAACGAGUAUCGUGAAGCACUCGCAAAGGUACAGCAACAGCACGAGGAAGCGGUCAAGGAGAUCAAUCAGGCGAUGAUGCUGCGUAUGAAGGCCAGCAAGGAUAUGAAACGUCUCACAGAAGAACGAAAUGCUGCCCUGCAGGAAUACAGCUUGAUCAUGGGAGAACGAGACACGGUACACAAGGAAAUUGAGAAGUUAGGUGAUGAUCUCACGCAAGCGUACACAAAAGUCACGCAUUUGGAAACGCAGAAUAAGCAGCUUGUUGAGGAGAAGAAAACGUUGUCUUAUCAAAUCGAGACUCUAAAGAGAGAGAUCUCUUCCGCUUUGCAAGACAGAGACGACACUCUGAAGUUGUGCAAUGAAUUACGGCAGAAAUUCGGCGAUUACUCCGAAGGUUCUAGCAGAGACUAUAAGCAUCGUUUGGAAUUAAACUCGCUCAGUCACGAACGCGACAGUGUCAGCAAGGAGGCCGAAAAGGAGACUAACACGAGAGAUUACGCGACACGAGAUAAGCAACGCAUGGAUAACUUGGAGCAAGCUAAUUUGGAGUUGGAUAAACUCAGGAAAUCCGUGGAUACUCUUCAAGCGGAGUUGGAGGAGGCCAUUCAAGAGGCCGAGGUGUCUAAGAGAAGAAGAGAUUGGGCCUUCAGUGAGCGCGACAAGAUAGUGUUGGAACGUGAAAGCAUAAGAACUCUGUGUGAUAAAUUACAGAAAGAGCGCGAUCGUGCGGUCUCUGAAUUGGCCGGUGCCUUACGCGAUUCCGACGAUAUUAAGAAGCAACGAAACGAAGCGUCGAAGGAAUUGAAGGAUUUGAAAGAGAAAAUCGAAUUUGGCGACCAUGCAUUGCGAACUAGUCAGCUGGCACAGAUUGAUGAUAGUAAUGACUGGGAUAUGAUUCCAAUUCACGUCGAACCCGGUAGAAUCUGCUUGGAUUCAGAUCGUGGUGACUUGGGACUGAUUCUCGUCGGCGGCCGCGACAGCCCGUAUUAUCCGAACGAUACUGGCGUCUACGUCGCGCAGGUGACACAGGGUAGCGCUCUCGAUGGUAAACUACGGGUGAACGAUUGUAUUGUGCGAGUGAAUAAUGUCGAUUGCACGUCUGUGUCGACCCGUGUGAUCUUAGAAACUCUGCGCUCGUCCACCGUGAAUCCGGCAACAUUAAUCGUAAAGCGGCGACGGAUAACCAGGCGAUCAUUGAGAACUACACAGUUAUCGGUCGGCACAGUGCCACAUGGUAUUACUUUAGAACUUGGCAUCUACAUUUCAAAAAUAUCGCCCGGAAGUUUGUCUGCUAAAGAUGGAAACCUUGCUGUAGGAGACAGGGUAUUAAACAUUAAUAGUAAACCCAUGGACAUUAUAACCACAGCACAUGAAGCGAUGGCUAUUCUAAACGAUGAUACUGUAGAUGUAUUAACCAUUACGACGUUGAAAGGUAUUCCGGUACCCUCCGCUGCCAGCUCGGAGACGGUGACGAUAGACGGCAGUUUUGUUGCGGAGAAACAAAAGAUGGUAAAUAGCUGUUCGCAAACUGAACAGGAGAGAAUGAUGCUGAAAGCCUCAUCAGAUGAUUACGAGAGACGAUAUCUGUCAACGAAUUUCGCUGACCGUAACGUCUAUAAGGCUGCGAAAUCUGUGAGCGGCGAGAAAUCGAGUGGAAUCAGCAAUGCUUGGGAUAACUUUAGAGAGAAGAUUGACAUAGUGCGUGGUCGCAAACACAGCAAGGAGCGCGACGAUAGCAAGAAGAAGGGCCAUCGCAAUUCUAGUCCGAAUACCUUUGAGCAGGAACAGGACGCCAUAGCGGAAUUGGAUUCGGUGAUCGACAGCUACCACAAGAAGGCGAGCAACAGCAACAACGGCGUGUUGAAGCGCAGCAAGCGCCGUGGCACUGAGAAGAUUGAGAAGAACGGCGGCACGUGGCCGAAGGCGCGUGGCGGACCCCUCAUACAAAAUGGGACCGGUACUAUAUUGCACCCGCGCAAAUCGAAAGAACGUUUUCCUCUCAGUGUACUCCUGCAUCCACCAAAAUACGAUAAUUAUAAUUAUAAUCGUAUCUCCAACCCCAUCCCCCUGACCAAUUUUUCCAAUGUCAAUAAUCGUCAUACCGUUUACAAAGCAGUGGAGACCCCGCUACCGAGCUUCAAGACCGGACAGCUCUUUAACCAGAAGCCAUCGUUCACGCCGGCGGUGCAGUUCAAGGACAUUCCGAUCGACGGUGGCAGCAAGAAGCCGCCGUCGACGGAGUUCGAGAGCAGCACGUCGGAGGCCGGGCGACUUGGCUCCGCGCUGGCGCCAUCCGAGACUAGCAUCGAUUUCUCGGUCAAGUCCGGCGGUGCCGGUCGCGAUGUCGACUCGUACUUCGCGAACAAACGGCCGCAAAAGUAUACGACCGGCAGCAGUAGCGACACGCAGGUGACCACGGAUACGCUACAGCACAAUCGCGUUCACUCACAGCUCUACUCAUCGGGCAUCGGUGGUUCGUCCACGUCUGCCGCGUCAACCACCAGCGGGCCGACGUCGCGACAGCAAAUGGCACCUGGUAACUUUCCGUUUCCCUCGCAUCAUCCAUACGCCGCGUCGUCGCACCUGCAUCAUCUGCAUCCGCAUCCCACUCAGCACCAGAAUUCCUUGCCCUCACGUUAUCCCUCGCCACCGUCGCUGCCGUCCGCGCAAUCAGGCGAGUCCAUAGGUCUGCCUGACGCACGUACCUACUGUUUCGAGCCCCCAUAUAGCCCCGGACCUUCGCAGACGACCCCGACCACUUUCGGCCAUCUGCACACGCCCUCCGUAGAUCUGCACUAUCACAAGCCACGUGCACUUCCGCUCGGUAUACCCUGCGACACGUCUAUCUAUGGGCAUGGAUACGAAGGUGGCACAUUGCCAGGCCGGAAGGAAGACCAGCGCAUCCGUAUACCGUCCAACACCAGUGUCACGUCCAAGAGUAGUGUUGGCAAAUUGUCUACUGGCAGCAUAGAAAGAACUUCCGAGCGUGGCAGCCCGAUGCCGACGUUUCACGUAGAAGUGUUGAGCCCAGGCACCGGUAGUACUAGUGGGAUUGGAAGCAGCGGCGGUACUGUGAGAGGAAACAGUAGCAGCAACAAGCGCGCCAGUAUGCCAGACUACUGUUACUCGCAGCCACGGCCAGCACCCGGAGAAUUGCGCAGAGUCCAUAUAGACAAGUCCGUGGAGCCGUUGGGAAUUCAAAUCUCGUGCCUGGAGAGUGGUGGUGUGUUCGUCUCCACCGUAUAUGAACACAGCCUGGCAUCGCAAGUCGGUUUACAGAUUGGUGACCAAUUGUUGGAGGUUUGCGGUAUAAAUAUGCGAAGUGCGACCUAUCAACUGGCUGCUAAUGUUCUACGUCAGUGCGGUAACUCGAUUACAAUGCUGGUGCAAUACAGCCCGGAUAAAUACACCGAGUUAGAAGGCUCGGCAUCCUCGAGUUCGUCGGAAGCCGGCGACGGAGCCGCGACUGGAAGUCGUAGCGGCUCGCCAACACCGUGCAAUAGUCCAGAAGCACCUCGAAAGAGUACAGUGGAAACGUUGGAGCCCGCUGAACCUGAACGCGACGCAACCAUCACUAUCACCACCACUGCUCCUACCGUUACCACUACUGCUGCACCUACAAUGAGCACAUUGCGCGUCGAGCACAUGCGGCCAUCCGCCUCGCUGGAAGUAAGAAGCACACAAGAGCGGGAACGUGAAAUGAGACCCUCUGCGUCGUUGGACAUCAACAUUCGUAAACCGGAACUUCGCAGCGCUGCCACGCUGGAUCGAUUGAGUCGCGCACAAAUGAUGCGGCAAAACGCGAUGAGAAGUCCCACACAGGAGGAACAGAAUCGAAAGCCACCACCGAGUGCUGAGCCCCGGUAUCUACUGAUUGAGACCAGGAAAUGCUCGAACCUCGGUAUAUCAUUAGUGGGUGGGAACGGUGUCGGUAUCUUCGUACAUUCUGUUCAGCCAGGUUGUCUCGCUGAAGAAGCCGGUCUGUUUGCCGGAGAUAGAAUUCUGGAGUACAACGGCGUAGAUCUGAGACAAGCGACCGCCGAGCAAGCCGCGCUUGAGCUGGCUCGACCAGCGGACAAGGUGACGCUAGUCGCUCAAUACAUGCUAGAGCGAUAUAACGAAGUGAAAGACAAGCCAGGCGACAGUUUUUACGUGAAGGCGCUAUUUGACAGAACUGGCGAAGUAGGUGAUAGUCUGCAGCUACGAUUUAGUAAGGACGAUAUUCUUUACGUGGAUAAUACUAUGUUCAACGGCACACCCGGCCACUGGCGCGCCUGGAUAGUUGAUCAAACCGGUCGUAGGCAGACUUGCGGGAUAAUUCCAAGCAAAUUUAAGGUUGAAGAAGAAUUGCUCCUACGUCGGUCUUUGGGUGACUUGGAACAAGACACUGGCAAACGCAGCAAUACUAGUGCGAGAAGAAGUUUUUUCCGUCGAAAAAAACAGCAACAACGAUCGUCCAGUAGUAGAGAUAGUUGCAAGGAAAUAUCGCAUCUUACGGGAGUCAAUCUGGGAUGGUACAGCGACAGUGGGACGUUAAACGAAGACACUCUUCCAGCGAGUUAUCAGCGCGUCGAGAGACUCGAUUAUCCUACUCUUAGACCCGUGUUGAUCAUCGGUCCGCUCAGCGAAUGUGUGGUAACGAAACUUUUGCAAGAAUACCCGGGACAGUUUACCAGAUGUCUGGCAGAGGCGAUGCAUUGUUCGCAAUCGACUUUGGAGCAAGGAUUACGCGAUUCUCUCUAUGUGGAUUAUAGGAAAAAAGGCAGCUAUUUCGAAUGCACAACAGUCCAAGCCGUUAAAGAUAUAUGCGAGAAGAAUACGCAUUGUAUUUUGGAUGUAUCAAUGGCUUCCAUUGAGAGGCUUCAUAGACAUCAAAUUUAUCCUAUCGUCCUAUUAAUCAAAUUCAAGGAUAGGACACAAAUUAAAGAGGUAAAGGAUUCCAGAUAUCCAAGCGACAAAAUCAGUACAAAGGCUGCAAAAGAGAUGUUUGAACAGGCGCUCAAGAUAGAGGCAGAGUACAAGCAUUACAUUUCUGCCGUGAUUCCGGCGGGCGUAAGUGUGGCAUAUAUAUGCACACAGGUGAAAGCCUCAGUAGAAGAGGAACAGAGCAAAGCACUGUGGAUUCCUAGAGGAGGUCCCUGACACAAAAGGGGGGGUCCCCACAAGCCGCAGUGGAAGUCAAUCUAAAUUCCACCAGGGGGCCCUUACGUCGUGCAUAUUUGCGAAAAUUGUUGUGCAAAAUCAGUUCUUUUAUUUAUGGUCUCUUGAUUUCGGAAGAAGGAUAUUAUGCGCUUCACAGAUAUUUUUGCUUAACAAAGUAUCGCUCAAUUUGGUUGUGAUAGGACGAAUUCUUGCGAAUUAUUUUGUUUUAGCGCAUUUAACUCGUUGAAUUAUCAAUAUAAAACAGCAGGUCGCCUUCAACAUACACACUGCAUUAUUUGGCGACUGGCCAGUCAGAAAACAAUUGGAUCACGGAUAACGGUCC